UACGGGAGGCAGCAGUGGGAGAUAUAUUGCACAAUGGCGCGAAACGCUCUGAUCGCACGCGCCCGCCGCGUGAGGGAUGAGCGGCCUUGCGGUGUUGUAAACUCUCUUUCAGCUCGGAAGAAGGCUAAGUGACCGUACCUG
This 141-nucleotide ribosomal RNA is filed under the name uncultured bacterium. RNAcentral's name for it is "partial 16S ribosomal RNA". The record is from RNAcentral.